RNAcentral lists this non-coding RNA (239 nucleotides) under Peptoclostridium litorale. Its description in RNAcentral is "Clostridium litorale T-box sequence". It matches the Rfam family "T-box leader". From Rfam's summary of the family: Uncharged tRNA acts as the effector for transcription antitermination of genes in the T-box leader family. T-boxes are found upstream of many aminoacyl-tRNA synthetase genes and some amino acid biosynthetic genes usually in Gram-positive bacteria. Lineage: Bacteria; Bacillati; Bacillota; Clostridia; Peptostreptococcales; Peptoclostridiaceae. The record is from RNAcentral.
AUAAAUUCUGUGAAGGAAAGAGUAGCAUGCGAAAUGGCGAAAGCGAGCCGGGGUAGGUGGGAGCCGGUGGUCAGGAAGAAUGUGAAGUGCAUUCCGGAGAAGGCUUUUUGAAAGAGAAUCAUGUAGGAAAGCCCGGCGAGGCCGUUAAACCGCAAAGAGAAGGUGCAGUGUGCAUUUAUGCAUAUAUAAUUUGCGCCAAAAAAAAGAGUGGAACCGCGAGCCAAAGCUUCGCCUCUUGC